RNAcentral lists this ribosomal RNA (253 nucleotides) under uncultured bacterium. RNAcentral describes it as "partial 16S ribosomal RNA". It matches the Rfam family "Bacterial small subunit ribosomal RNA", at positions 524 to 776 of the family's 1533-position model. The record is from RNAcentral.
UACGUAGGGCGCAAGCGUUAUCCGGAAUUAUUGGGCGUAAAGAGCUCGUAGGCGGUUUGUCGCGUCUGCCGUGAAAACUCGGGGCUCAACCCCGAGCCUGCAGUCGAUACGGGCAGACUAGAGUGCGGUAGGGGAGACUGGAAUUCCUGGUGUAGCGGUGAAAUGCGCAGAUAUCAGGAGGAACACCGGUGGCGAAGGCGGGUCUCUGGGCCGUAACUGACGCUGAGGAGCGAAAGCGUGGGGAGCAAACAGG